UACGGAAGGCAGCAGUGGGGAAUAUUGCACAAUGGGCGCAAGCCUGAUGCAGCCAUGCCGCGUGUAUGAAGAAGGCCUUCGGGUUGUAAAGUACUUUCAGUCGUGAGGAAGGUGUUAAGGUUAAUAACCUUAGCAAUUGACGUUAGCGACAGAAGAAGCACCGGCUAACUCCGUGCCAGCAGCCGCGGUAAUACGGAGGGUGCGAGCGUUAAUCGGAAUUACUGGGCGUAAAGGGCACGCAGGCGGUUAAUUAAGUUGGAUGUGAAAUCCCCGGGCUUAACCUGGGAAUGGCAUUCAAGACUGGUUAGCUAGAGUCUUGUAGAGGGGGUAGAAUUCCAUGUGUAGCGGUGAAAUGCGUAGAGAUGUGGAGGAAUACCGGUGGCGAAGGCGGCCCCUGGACAAAGACUGACGCUCAUGUGCGAAAGCGUGGGGAGCAAAACAGGGAUUAGAUA
RNAcentral lists this ribosomal RNA (452 nucleotides) under uncultured bacterium. RNAcentral's name for it is "bacterial SSU rRNA". It matches the Rfam family "Bacterial small subunit ribosomal RNA", at positions 340 to 784 of the family's 1533-position model. The record is from RNAcentral.